RNAcentral lists this ribosomal RNA (1352 nucleotides) under uncultured bacterium. Its description in RNAcentral is "bacterial SSU rRNA". It matches the Rfam family "Bacterial small subunit ribosomal RNA", at positions 27 to 1381 of the family's 1533-position model. The record is from RNAcentral.
GGACGAACGCUGGCGGCGUGCCUAAUGCAUGCAAGUCGAGCGGGCUACGAUCUUCGGAUUGUAGCUUAGCGGCGAACGGGUGAGUAACACGUAGGUAAUCUACCCUUCAGAGGAGGACAACCUCAGGAAACUGAGGCUAAACCUUCAUACGUUCACUGGUAGGGAUACUGGUGAAGAAAGAGUUACCUUAAAGGUAGCUGCUGAAGGAUGAGCCUGCGGCCCAUCAGGUAGUUGGUGAGGUAACGGCUCACCAAGCCGAAGACGGGUAGCCGGCCUGAGAGGGCGACCGGCCACACUGGAACUGAGACACGGUCCAGACUCCUACGGGAGGCAGCAGUUGGGAAUCUUAGGCAAUGGGCGAAAGCCUGACCUAGCGACGCCGCGUGAGGGAAGAAGGCCUUCGGGUCGUAAACCUCUGUCAUGGGGGACGAAGGAAGUGACGGUACCCCAAGAGGAAGCCCCUGCUAACUACGUGCCAGCAGCCGCGGUAAUACGUAGGGGGCGAGCGUUAUCCGGAAUUAUUGGGCGUAAAGGGCGAGUAGGCGGUCUGUUAAGUCAGGUGUGAAAUUUCAGGGCUCAACCCUAAAACUGCGCUUGAAACUGGCAGGCUAGAGGACAGGAGAGGGAAGUGGGAUUCCCGGUGUAGCGGUGGAAUGCGUAGAUAUCGGGAGGAACACCAGUGGCGAAGGCGGCUUCCUGGACUGUACCUGACGCUGAGGAGCGAAAGCUGGGGGAGCAAACAGGAUUAGAUACCCUGGUAGUCCCAGCUGUAAACGAUGAGUGCUAGGUGUGGAGGGCUACAAUCCUCCGUGCCGCAGUUAACGCAAUAAGCACUCCGCCUGGGGAGUACGGCCGCAAGGCUAAAACUCAAAGGAAUUGACGGGGGCCCGCACAAGCAGUGGAGCGUGUGGUUUAAUUCGAGGCAACGCGCAGAACCUUACCAGGGUUUGACAUCAUACUGACGUCUGUAGAAACACAGAUUUCCGUUUAGGCGGACGGUAUGACAGGUGUUGCAUGGUUGUCGUCAGCUCGUGUCGUGAGAUGUUGGGUUAAGUCCCGCAACGAGCGCAACCCCUAUCCAAUGUUGCCAACAGGUAAAGCUGGGGACUCAUUGGAGACUGCCGGAGACGAUCUGGAGGAAGGUGGGGAUGAGGUCAAAUCAUCAUGGCCCUUAAGCCCUGGGCUACACACGCGCUACAAUGGCCGGUACAACGGGCAGCGAAGGAGCGAUCUGGAGCGAAUCCCAAAAAGCCGGCCCCAGUUGGAAUCGCAGGCUGCAACCCGCCUGCGUGAACAUGGAAUUGCUAGUAAUCGCGAAUCAGCUACGUCGCGGUGAAUACGUUCCCGGGCCU